ACCUGCAGGCGGCCGCGAAUUCACUAGUGAUUUCCAACUACGAGCGUUUUAAAUGCAACAAAUUUUACAUGUACGUGCGAGGCUGGAAUUACCGCGGCUGCUGGCACCAGACUUGCCCCUCGCUAGUAUUCACGAAUGGACCUGAAUUUCGUCCAUUCCAGUCUAUUGCUCAAAGAGUUAGACUGAUAUUUCUCGUCACUACCUCCCCAGUUCGGGAGUGGGUAAUUUGCGCGCCUGCUGCCUUCCUUAGAUGUGGUAGCGAUAUCUCAAGCUGCCUCUCCGGAAUCGAACCCUGAUUCCCCGUGACCCGUCGUAAUCUAGUUAGGAAAAUAUCCUAACUACAAAUUGAUAGGGCGCGAUUUUAUUUGAUCUGUCGUCGGCAUAAAGCCAUACGAUCAGCAAAGUCAUCUAGAAUCACCUUUCGCUUGAAGCCUUACGGCAACAUGCGAUCGGAUAUCAGAAAAAUGCAUCCAGCCAGUAAAGGCUGGAUAUCAAUGCAAGUCUUAGCUCUAGAUUUUCUACGGUUAUCCUGUAGAUUGACAAUCAAGAAAAAUGUAGGCGUUGUAAUGAGCUAUCCGCAGUUUCACUCUACCGAAGUAUGUACUUA
RNAcentral lists this ribosomal RNA (607 nucleotides) under Buddenbrockia bryozoides. RNAcentral's name for it is "partial 18S ribosomal RNA". Lineage: Eukaryota; Metazoa; Cnidaria; Myxozoa; Malacovalvulida; Saccosporidae. The record is from RNAcentral.